Molecule: ribosomal RNA, 133 nt
Filed under: Gekko hokouensis x Gekko yakuensis
Lineage: Eukaryota; Metazoa; Chordata; Lepidosauria; Squamata; Gekkonidae
Description: partial 12S ribosomal RNA
Source: RNAcentral
CUGAGACGCGUACACACCGCCCGUCACCCUCCUCAGAAACCAAAAAUCAAAAUAACUAAGCCCCUCCCCCAAAUCUACCAGAUGAGGCAAGUCGUAACAUGGUAAGUGUACUGGAAAGUGCACUUGGCAAAAC